GACGAACGCUGGCGGCGUGCUUAACACAUGCAAGUCGAGCGGUAAGGCCCUUUCGGGGGUACGACGAGCGGCGAACGGGUGAGUAACACGUGGGUGACCUGCCCUUACGCUCUGGGAGUAAGCCUGGGAAACGUGGGUCUAAUACCGGAUAUGACUCCAUAACGCAUGUUGUGGGGUGGAAAGCCUUGUGCGGCUAGGGAUGGGCCCGCGGCCUAUCAGCUUGUUGGUGGGGUGAUGGCCACCAAGGCGACGA
Molecule: ribosomal RNA, 253 nt
Filed under: uncultured bacterium
Lineage: Bacteria
Description: partial 16S ribosomal RNA
Rfam family: Bacterial small subunit ribosomal RNA
Source: RNAcentral